RNAcentral lists this ribosomal RNA (492 nucleotides) under uncultured bacterium. RNAcentral describes it as "partial 16S ribosomal RNA". It matches the Rfam family "Bacterial small subunit ribosomal RNA", at positions 29 to 507 of the family's 1533-position model. The record is from RNAcentral.
AGUGAACGCUGGCGGUAGGCCUAACACAUGCAAGUCGAACGGCAGCACAGUAAGAGCUUGCUCUUACGGGUGGAGAGUGGCGGACGGGUGAGGAAUACAUCGGAAUCUACUUUUUCGUGGGGGAUAACGUAGGGAAACUUAAGCUAAUAUAGAAUAGGCUCUUCGGUUGAAAGCAGGGGAUCUUCGGACCUUGCGGGAUUGACUGAGCGUAGUUAGGAUUAGCUGUUGGGCGGGUUAAAGGCCCACGAAGGGGAGUAUCCGUAGCUGGUCUGAGUGAAGGAUCAGCCACACUGGAACGGAGACACGGUCCAGACUCCUACGGGAGGCACCAGUGGGGAAUAUUGGACAAAGGUGGCAAGCCUGAUCCAGCCAUACCGCGUGGGUGAAGAAGGCCUUCGGUUUGUAAAGCCCGUUUGUUGGGAAAAAAAAGCAGCAGGGUGAUACGCCGCUGUUCUGACGGUACCCAAAGAAUAAGCACCGGCUAACUUCGUG